This 177-nucleotide non-coding RNA is filed under the name Candidatus Lambdaproteobacteria bacterium. Its description in RNAcentral is "6S RNA". It matches the Rfam family "6S / SsrS RNA". Rfam says of the family: E. coli 6S RNA was the first non coding RNA to be sequenced, but its function was unknown until recently. It consists of 184 nucleotides that fold into an extended hairpin structure with a large single-stranded internal bulge. The record is from RNAcentral. Lineage: Bacteria; Pseudomonadati; Pseudomonadota; Candidatus Lambdaproteobacteria.
AUUGUCCUGCGGUGUUCGAGAAGCUGAAUUUUCUUUGACCUAUUUUCUUGACGGGAUUCAAUCCCUGGGAACCGCAAGCCAGCCCGGCCUGUCCGGGACGCGACGCGCUCCCAUACCGGAUCCCACCUGCACCAGCAGGUUCGAGAAAACCGGCGGACCGGCACUCGCGGGCAUGUC